GGGGAAUAUUGGACAAUGGGCGCAAGCCUGAUCCAGCCAUGCCGCGUGAGUGAUGAAGGCCUUAGGGUUGUAAAGCUCUUUCACCGGUGAAGAUAAUGACGGUAGCCGGAGAAGAAGCCCCGGCUAACUUCGUGCCAGCAGCCGCGGUAAUACGAAGGGGGCUAGCGUUGUUCGGAAUUACUGGGCGUAAAGCGCACGUAGGCGGAUUGGUCAGUUAGGGGUGAAAUCCCAGGGCUCAACCCUGGAACUGCCUUUAAUACUGCCAGUCUUGAGUUCGAGAGAGGUGAGUGGAAUUCCGAGUGUAGAGGUGAAAUUCGUAGAUAUUCGGAGGAACACCAGUGGCGAAGGCGGCUCACUGGCUCGAUACUGACGCUGAGGUGCGAAAGCGUGGGGAGCAAAC
RNAcentral lists this ribosomal RNA (400 nucleotides) under uncultured bacterium. Its description in RNAcentral is "bacterial SSU rRNA". It matches the Rfam family "Bacterial small subunit ribosomal RNA", at positions 356 to 773 of the family's 1533-position model. The record is from RNAcentral.